Molecule: long non-coding RNA, 1917 nt
Organism: Apodemus sylvaticus (European woodmouse)
Lineage: Eukaryota; Metazoa; Chordata; Mammalia; Rodentia; Muridae
Exons: 3
Source: RefSeq, a predicted model, not a curated record
ACACUGGCCUCAUUCUAGUUCCACAGUACCACUUCUAGCCUUGGGGCCUAGGGUUGAGGUAUCCUUUCCCUAAGGUGGUCCCAUUCCCCCACUGGCUCUGGACAUAGUGAUUCUCCAGUGACCAGUCUAGUUUUUGCUCAUUGUGCUUGUCUCCUUGCAGUCCUAUUCUCUCUUUUUAUCCCACAUGGUAAGAACACGUCUUAGCAAAAUAAUAUGCCCAAAUUAAACUCUCAAGGGGGUAGCAUCGUUUUCAGCAGAAGGCCACAUCUUUUGCAAAAUGUGUUUUGUGUUUGCUGUUGGUUCUUUUCCUCUGGAGACUGGAAGACUUUAGCAACUCAACAGGAGACCAAGUGGAACUUCCGAUUGCCUUCUGGACUUGUGCUGAGGAUGUAGAACUCUCAGCUCCUCCAGCCCCGUGUCUGCCUGGACGGUGCUGUGCUUCCGCCAUGAUGAUAAUGGACUGAACCUCUGAACCUGGGGAGACUAUAUAUGAUUAUACUGUCAGACAUUCUGAGAGAAGAAGAGGGUUCUAGCUCAGAAGGUCUGAAGGCCUGAAGAAAAGAGAAGCACAGCUUCCUGGAAUGCAAAGACAGAGGCUGUGUAUGGAAUGCUCUGUCACAGACACAGUUUACCCCACCAUGGUGCCACAAGGGAAACCCUGGAGAAUAAAUAAAUAAUUCAACCUCUUUCCUUGAAUUUGUUGGCACAACUAGUCUGGAAGUCCACUGGGCACUGGGUAAAGGAUCCUGUCAGACAGUCCAAAUCUUUCAGGCAAAAAGUAGUGGAGACCAGUUGAGAGAUAUGCGACCCAAUGGGAAAACCUCACAAAUUUCUAGAAGAUCUGUCCAUCUUUAUUAACUGUUGGAAGCAAUUAAUAAAGUCAGACUAUAGUGCAAAUGCUUGAGCAGUAUGGAUCACAGCAAAAUGAUUUCUUUACAGGCAUUGGUAUUAAGCCUCAUGCUUUAAUUCAUCCAAUUCUGAUAUAAAGAUCUACUGCAGAUCUGAGUGGUUAAGUGGUUGAUCCAAGGAAUGCACUGCUAUUUAGUAUGGUCAUUCAAAUAAUCUCCUUUUGAUAAUUAAUUUUCUCUGCAUUCAUAGCAUAUGUAUCUUGCCAUUUUUGUGUUAUAGAUUUCAUCAUACUGCAUGUGUGUGUAAAGCAUCAUGAUUUACACUUCUAAUGGACCAUGUAGAAGAAAUAACUUUUAAAGAUGAGUUCACUGCUGGUCCCCUUCUGUAUAGAAAUAAGAACAUAAUUAAGGAGAAUUUGUAGACAUAUUGAGAUUGUCAGGCUCAAUGUAGGCUCAUCCAGUAGCCAGCAACCCUGAAGAAACAGAAUUCAUGUGUGCAUCAGUCAAGGUUUAACUACAGGAUCAAAAUCAUUCCAAGAGCAGAUGUGAUAUAGCCACAUUUCAGACCGUUAAGACGUCAUGGUUGGGUCCUUCUUUCCUUCCUGCUGGGUACUGGCUGCUUGCUGUUGAGAUGGGCAAGCAUAUGAAACUUGGGAAAGUGGUUCUGGUCUUAGCUGGAUACUACUCUGGAAGCAAAACCAUCAUGUACAACCUUGAUAAUGGAACCUCAGACCACCCUUAUAGCCAUGCCUUGUGGCUGGAAUUGACCACUGUUUCAGAAAAGUGAAGCUGUCAUGGGCAAGAAGAAAAUUGUCAAGAGAUUAAAGAUCAAGUCCUUUGUGAAAGCUUAUAAUUACAGACACAUCAUGCCCACAAGCCACCCUGUCGAUAUUCCCAUGGACAAACUGUUGUAAAUAAGGAUGUCUUUGGAGAGCUCUGAAAUGCAAUGCCAGGUCAAGGUCAAGUUUGAGGAAUGAUAUAAAACUGGGAAGAAGAAAUGGUUUUUCUAGAUGCUUUGCUUUUAGAUAUAUUUCUGUUUCUGUAUUAAAAAUUAAAGGUGUUAUUGUCA